Molecule: long non-coding RNA, 810 nt
Organism: Panicum virgatum (switchgrass)
Lineage: Eukaryota; Viridiplantae; Streptophyta; Magnoliopsida; Poales; Poaceae
Exons: 3
Source: RefSeq, a predicted model, not a curated record
UUUGGGUGUAGAUUUUGAUUUGCCAUACUGUAUAGGAGCUGGCUGGCAUGAGCCGUCGGGCUUCAGAGAAGCUUCAGGUGGCCGAAGGGCUAGCCUCCGGUCGGUAGCAGCUAGAGGCGCGGGUAGCGGAGCUGGAGGCGCGCAACCGGGAGCUGGAGAGGCGGCGCUCCGAGUCGUCGAAGAAGUUCGCCAAGGAGAAGCGCGAGCUCCAGAAGGCAAACUUCGACAUGGCGCGCAACCUGAAGGCCUGUACCAAGGCCAACGAGGACCACACCCUGCGCAACGCGGCGGAGAAGAGGGAGGCCCUGACGGAGGGCAAGCUCAAGCUAGAGCAGGAUGCACAUUGAGGCUCGGAGGCUCAGCUGGCUGAGGCGAGGAGGUUGCUGGAUCGCCUGACCGACAAGUUGCACGCCGUCUUGGCCGCGUUCUGAGCCGAGCGGGGUUGCUAUGGCCGAGGACCUGGCAGCCCGACUGGAGGCGGCGCGGGUCCGGCUCAGGACCUUCAUGAAAAAGGUGGCUGGGGAUGCAAUCCAGUACACCAUGGGACUUGUGAAGUCCCACCUCGCGGAGGCAGACCUGGAGCCGGUUGGUGACGGGAUCCCACCCGGGAUCCCGCCCGAGUGCUCCAACGAGGAGUGGGAGGCCUACCUCGCCAGCGCGAAGCCCCUGGCUGACCGCAUCACCACCGACCUUGACCUUUAUUUUGUUUUUAUCUGCACUGAGGACAAGUGGUUAGGAUGUCACAAGAACAAUAUUUGUUUUGUUUUGUAAAUAAGUUGUCAUGAUUUUUAGUUUUAUUCGUUUGCUUGA